GACGAACGCUGGCGGCGUGCUUAACACAUGCAAGUCGAACGGAAAGGCCCUGCUUUUGUGGGGUGCUCUAGUGGCGAACGGGUGAGUAACACGUGAGUAACCUGCCCUUGACUUUGGGAUAACUUCAGGAAACUGGGGCUAAUACCGGAUAGGAGCUCCUGCUGCAUGGUGGGGGUUGGAAAGUUUCGGCGGUUGGGGAUGGACUCGCGGCUUAUCAGCUUGUUGGUGGGGUAGUGGCUUACCAAGGCUUUGACGGGUAGCCGGCCUGAGAGGGUGACCGGCCACAUGGGGACUGAGAUACGGCCCAGACUCCUACGGGAGGCAGCAGUGGGGAAUAUUGCACAAUGGGCGGAAGCCUGAUGCAGCAACGCCGCGUGCGGGAUGACGGCCUUCGGGUUGUAAACCGCUUUCGCCUGUGACGAAGCGUGAGUGACGGUAAUGGGUAAAGAAGCACCGGCUAACUACGUG
RNAcentral lists this ribosomal RNA (468 nucleotides) under uncultured bacterium. RNAcentral's name for it is "partial 16S ribosomal RNA". It matches the Rfam family "Bacterial small subunit ribosomal RNA", at positions 28 to 507 of the family's 1533-position model. The record is from RNAcentral.